This 287-nucleotide long non-coding RNA is filed under the name Monodelphis domestica (gray short-tailed opossum). RNAcentral's name for it is "lncRNA (ENSMODG00000046852.1)". The record is from RNAcentral. Lineage: Eukaryota; Metazoa; Chordata; Mammalia; Didelphimorphia; Didelphidae.
ACAUAAUCCAUUCCCUCAUCCAGUGACCACUGAACAGAAGAAGACUUGAAGGUACUUUGUAUUGGACACUUAUUUCUGUGCCAGUGCAGGUUUCUUCUCCCUGACCUCAGCUGCCUUCUGAUUGGACAAGCAUCAUAAUAAGUUGUUAAAGCCAAGAUGGUUUAAGAAAAGUUGGAAAUAGCCUCUUCUUUCCACAAAGCAAUCUCCACUGAUCGAAACUGAAUUAGGAAGACACAAUGCAAUACCUAAGGAGUAAGUUUUUCCCUUUCUAUUUCUUCUAAUGGUCA